RNAcentral lists this small nuclear RNA (107 nucleotides) under Tupaia belangeri (northern tree shrew). Lineage: Eukaryota; Metazoa; Chordata; Mammalia; Scandentia; Tupaiidae. The record is from RNAcentral.
GAAUGUUACAUAGUACGUGCAUAAGCAAAAAUGGAAAUGCCACAGAACGAUUAGCAAGGUCCCUGCAUAAGGAUGGCAUGCAAAUCUGUGAAGAGUUCCUUAUUUAA